This 3706-nucleotide long non-coding RNA is filed under the name Ornithorhynchus anatinus (platypus). RNAcentral describes it as "lncRNA (ENSOANG00000037224.1)". The record is from RNAcentral. Lineage: Eukaryota; Metazoa; Chordata; Mammalia; Monotremata; Ornithorhynchidae.
AGUGACUUGCCCAAAGUCACACAGCUGCCAAGUGGCAUUGGGGAUUCAAACCCAUGACCUCUGGCUCCCAAGCCCGGGCUUUUUCCACUGGGCCACGUGAGAUAAAAACGAUUUUUUCAGCAGAGAUUCAGAGUCUGGAGGUGUGGGGGGAGAGAGGAGGUGUCUAGAUUUCCCCCACUUGCCCUCCGGAUCCAUCAGUUAGCACCCAUCAUCCAACUCAUGUGAGCUCACUGUGGGCAGGAAUUUUUCCUGUUUCUUGUUCCACUGUACUCUCCCAAGUGCUUAGUGCAGGGCUUUGCGCACAAUAAGAGCUCAAUAAAAACGACUGAAUGAAUGAAUAGGGUUAGGGAAGCUGCUUGUCAUUAUCAUGCUUGCUGUAGUCAGGGUCAUUUAGGUUUGGCCACUUCUCUUCUCUGGUCAAAUCCCACCCAUGUGGCCCUACCUAUGAUCUUGAAGGUACUUGCCGGUCCCUUAACUCAUUGUCCAUUGGCAAGACCGAGAGCAGGAAAUUGAAAUAAUGAUAAUUAUGGAAUUUAAGCAUAUACUCUGUGCCAAGCAGUGUUCUCAACACCGAGGUAAAUACCUGGUAUUCAGAUUGGAUACAGUCCCUGUCUCACAUAGGGCUCACGGUCUCAAUCCCCAUUUUACAGAUGAGCUAACUGGCAUACAGAAGUGAAGUGACCUGCCCAAGGACACACAGCAGACAAGUGGCUGACCCGGGAUUAGCACCCACAACCUCUGACUCCAAAGCCCAUAUUCUUGCCACUAGGUCAUGAAACUAUGUGUCUCCAACAUCCCCAAGCGCAUCAAGAAGUAAAUAGUUAUGGGGAAGUGUUAAGUGAGAAACCUCAAGUGGAUGAAGGAGAUUUCAUAUUCAUACAGCUGAAGGUUUUCAAGAACAAUAGAGGUUUGCUUUCAUCCUUCAUACUGGAACAGCUGCAGCACCUGAAAGGAAUUGCUGGAUCCACUGGCCUCCAGCUCUGCUAAAUGUUCAUCAGGGAGGGCCUGACUAAUCAGAAGUCAUGCCGGAAGAUGCGCUCAGAAAACACAGCCCUUCUGCUUCAGAUCCAGCUUAUAAAUUUGAAUCCUACUCUGCUGAAUCAUGACAAAAAAUACAACCUUGCUUUGGGCAGGGAAUGUAUCUGUUAUAUUGUACUUUCCCAAGCACUUAGUACAAUGCUCUGUACACAGUAAGCACUCAGUAAAUACGAUUGACUGACUAGUAUUGAAUUGUUAGCAAGGUCCCUGACAUUCCCUGGGAACCAGUCACUUGAACAGCAAUGUCCACAGGCGGUACUGCCCUCAGAAAAGAGGUUUUCAUGAUUCCUCAAGACGACAAAAUUACCAAACAUUGUCGGGCCUGAUGACUGAAUAACCUGGUCUCCAAUUUGUUCCUGCCCCAGAUCCUCCAGGACCUUAUUCUCUUAGCACCACAUUCAAGGCCGGCGUCCUUAUCCCCCAGAUUAAAUGAGAGCUUUUGGCUGGCGGGGAUUGAGUUACCUCAUCAAACUGCCUGGCAAAGUUGAGCGUGAGCCAGACAAAAGCUGGAAUCUGAAUGGAGAAGACAGCAUGUUGAAUAAAAUGAAGUAGAUAGUAGAGCACUGAGCAUUGUAGUUGAGAAUAAGAACAUAUCUAUAUUUUGUGCUUAGUAAACUGCAGUCUGGCUAGCUGCAAUUGAGUGAUUACUUAAAUGCAUGCAUUCUUUGUGCACCUGGUGGAGGUGUGGGCAGAAGGCAGAGCAGUUCUAACCCAGAAGUGCAUAUAGACAGCAUUUUUUAUGGCAUUUCUUAAGCACUUUCUAUGUAUCAAACACUAUUCUAAACGCUGGGGUGGAUACAAAUUAAUUACAUUGGACAUAGUCCCUGUCCUGCAAUGGGCUCGUAAUCUAAGUAGGAGUAAUGUAUAUCUAAUUUUCUUUUGAGUUGAAGAUGUUCACGGUUUGGGUGUGCAGGUGGCUGGUGAUGAAUCCAUCAGUGAUAUUUGAGAACUUACUGGGUGUAGACCACUGUACUGAGCACUUGGAGGAGUGCAGUACUGUUGUGGGAUACCUGCCCACAAGGAGCUUACAGAUUUGUGUGGAAGACAAAUGUUAAAAUAAAUUAAAGGUAAAAUAAUAAUAAUAAUAAUUUUGAUAUUUGUUAAACACUAUGUGACAAGCAUUUUACUAAGCGUUGGGGUGGAUAUGAGCAAAUGCGGUCGGACCCAGCCCCUGUCCCAUGUGGGGAUCACAGUCUUAAUCCCCAUUUUACAGAAGAGGUUACUGAAGCACAGAUGAGGUAACUGACCUAAUUAACUUGUACCUACCCCAGCACUUAGAACAGUGUUUGACACAUAGUAAGUGCUUAAUGAAUACCAUAAAAAAGAGCUUCUAGGGAUUUCUUUACAAGUAUCAUUCUGACCUGGAAAUGAGGUCAGGCUUGUGGUUUAAAAUGGCAGACCCACUACGUUACCUUCUGGGACUUGUAGUCAAGGCACUAAAGUGAUCUGUCUGCUCAGAAAUCCCACCUAACAGACAAAGCAGUGAUUUAAAGGAACUGCUAGUGGCUUUUCAUGCUGAGGUACAGAGCGCUGGGCCCUGGGUAUCAUUUAAUCUGUGGAAGUCAGGUCUGGCCUAAAUUUGCGUGUAGCUGUUCAUAUUAAACUUCUCUAUUGAAGCACACUUGGAUCUAUACCUUUUGGGCAUUUGGUAUUCAUCCCACCUUCAGCCCCACAGCACUUAUGUACAUCCAUAAUCUAUGUAUUUACAUUAAUGACUGUCUCCCCCUACAGACUCGAAGGUCACCAUUGGCAGGGAAUGUGUUUACCAACUCUUUUGUGUUACACUCUCCCAAGUGUUUAGUACAGGGCUCUGCACACAGUAAGUACUCAAAAAAUACCAUUGACUGAUGUCUUGUACACUCCAGCAUAGUUUUCUGCACUCAGUAAGUGCUCAGAAAAUACCACUGAUUGAAUAAUUGCCUACUUUAAGUGCUCCAAGACCCCAGACUCAUGACUGUGAGAAGAGGAGACAGAUCCUGCCAGUUUGAGGUCUAGAAAAGCCCAGUUCUCUCCAAGAUGCACAGGUGACUUUAAGAGUAUAUGGGCAGGGUGGGGUCUGGGUGGUCCAGGAGGCCUGUGGGGUCAUUCAAAGUGGGGGGCCCAGUCUAGCCUGUCACCCCUUUCAGGAAGGGGUUAAACCCAAAAAGAUUUUUUAAAAACCCUAAAGAGUUUUCAGUCCUGUAUUUCAUCUUAAUGUCUUUAAGCUCCUUGUGGGCAGGGAUCAUGUCUAUGAACUCUGUUGUAUUGUACAUUCCCAGGUGCUUAGUACAGUGCUCUGCACAUAGUAAGUGCUCAAUAAAUACAUAGAGUUUCUACUGCUAUGUUUACUACCUUUUCUAAAUGUUUGGAAGAAGAGAAAGAUCUUAAAAGCCUCAUUUAACUUUCAAAUGGCAUCUUGUGUUGGAAAAGCAGGGAAAUUAUAAGAAAAGACAAGUGUGCAGAAAAGCCAGUUGCAUUUAGCCUUUUUCCACAAUAAAAGCCAUUCCACUCAAACACUGAGAGAUGACAGACUCAUUCUUCCUCUGACUCUGGCUAUCAGAACUGCCUGUUCAAACAUUUGCAAUAGUCAUGCUGAUAUGGCCAACACUUUUCAGAAGCAAGCAUUCAAAUGGGACCAGUUUACUCAACAGAGCAAGGCUGGCACUAAUGAAACACUUCUGCCACCUAU